GGGCGCAAGCCUGAUGCAGCGACGCCGCGUGAGGGAUGACGGCCUUCGGGUUGUAAACCUCUUUCAGUACCGACGAAGCGCAAGUGACGGUAGGUACAGAAGAAGCACCGGCCAACUACGUGCCAGCAGCCGCGGUAAUACGUAGGGUGCGAGCGUUGUCCGGAAUUACUGGGCGUAAAGAGCUCGUAGGCGGUUUGUCGCGUCGUCUGUGAAAACCCGCAGCUCAACUGCGGGCUUGCAGGCGAUACGGGCAGACUUGAGUACUGCAGGGGAGACUGGAAUUCCUGGUGUAGCGGUGAAAUGCGCAGAUAUCAGGAGGAACACCGGUGGCGAAGGCGGGUCUCUGGGCAGUAACUGACGCUGAGGAGCGAAAGCGUGGGUAGCGAACAGGAUUAGAUACCCUGGUAGUCCACGCCGUAAACGGUGGGCGCUAGGUGUGGGUUUCCUUCCACGGGAUCCGUGCCGUAGCUAACGCAUUAAGCGCCCCGCCUGG
RNAcentral lists this ribosomal RNA (493 nucleotides) under uncultured Rhodococcus sp. RNAcentral's name for it is "bacterial SSU rRNA". It matches the Rfam family "Bacterial small subunit ribosomal RNA", at positions 373 to 876 of the family's 1533-position model. Lineage: Bacteria; Bacillati; Actinomycetota; Actinomycetes; Mycobacteriales; Nocardiaceae. The record is from RNAcentral.